RNAcentral lists this ribosomal RNA (495 nucleotides) under uncultured bacterium. RNAcentral describes it as "partial 16S ribosomal RNA". It matches the Rfam family "Bacterial small subunit ribosomal RNA", at positions 30 to 506 of the family's 1533-position model. The record is from RNAcentral.
AUGAACGCUGGCGGCGUGCCUAAUACCUGCAAGUCGAGCGAACAGAUAAGGAGCUUGCUCCUUUGACGUUAGCGGCGGACGGGUGAGUAACACGUGGGUAACCUACCUAUAAGACUGGGAUAACUUCGGGAAACCGGAGCUAAUACCGGAUAAUAUUUCGAACCGCAUGGUUCGAUAGUGAAAGAUGGUUUUGCUAUCACUUAUAGAUGGACCCGCGCCGUAUUAGCUAGUUGGUAAGGUAACGGCUUACCAAGGCGACGAUACGUAGCCGACCUGAGAGGGGAAUGGGCCACAAGGAAAAUGAAACACGGUCCAAAACCCUAGGGGAGGAAGGAGUGGGGAAUUUUCCCAAAGGGGGGAAAGCCGGAGGGGGAAACGCCGGGGGAGGAAGGAAGGUUUUGGGACAGAAAAACUUUUUUAUUAGGGAAAAAAAAAGGGGAAAGUAAAGGGGCACGUUUUGAGGGUACCAAAUAAAAAAGCCACGGCAAACUACGG